GAUGAACGCUGGCGGCGUGCCUAAUACAUGCAAGUCGAGCGAACAGACGAGGAGCUUGCUCCUCUGACGUUAGCGGCGGACGGGUGAGUAACACGUGGAUAACCUACCUAUAAGACUGGGAUAACUUCGGGAAACCGGAGCUAAUACCGGAUAAUAUAUUGAACCGCAUGGUUCAAUAGUGAAAGACGGUUUUGCUGUCACUUAUAGAUGGAUCCGCGCCGCAUUAGCUAGUUGGUAAGGUAACGGCUUACCAAGGCGACGAUGCGUAGCCGACCUGAGAGGGUGAUCGGCCACACUGGAACUGAGACACGGUCCAGACUCCUACGGGAGGCAGCAGUAGGGAAUCUUCCGCAAAGGGCGAAAGCCUGACGGAGCAACGCCGCGUGAGUGAUGAAGGUCUUCGGAUCGUAAAACUCUGUUAUUAGGGAAGAACAAAUGUGUAAGUAACUAUGAACGUCUUGACGGUACCUAAUCAGAAAGCCACGGCUAACUACGUG
This 497-nucleotide ribosomal RNA is filed under the name uncultured bacterium. RNAcentral describes it as "partial 16S ribosomal RNA". It matches the Rfam family "Bacterial small subunit ribosomal RNA", at positions 28 to 507 of the family's 1533-position model. The record is from RNAcentral.